UGAGGAAUCUUCCGCAAUGGGCGAAAGCCUGACGGAGCAAUCCCGCGUGCAGGAUGACACCCCUCGGGGCGUAAACUGCUUUUAUGAGGGAAGAAAUUUUGACGGUACCUCAUGAAUAAGGGGCGGCUAAUUCCGUGCCAGCAGCCGCGGUAAUACGGAAGCCCCAAGCGUUAUCCGGAAUCACUGGGCGUAAAGCGAUCGAAGGUGGCGAAGUAAGUCUGGUGUUAAAUCCCUCGGCUCAACCGAGGAAUCGUGCCGGAAACUGCUUUGCUAGAGGAAUGCAGGGGUAAGUAGAAUUCCUAUUGUAGGGGUUAAAUCCGUAGAUAAUAGGAGGAAUACCAAAAGCGAAGGCAGCUUACUGGGCAUUUCCUGACACUGCACGAUCGAAAGCGUGGGGAGCAAAACGG
Molecule: ribosomal RNA, 407 nt
Filed under: uncultured bacterium
Lineage: Bacteria
Description: bacterial SSU rRNA
Rfam family: Bacterial small subunit ribosomal RNA
Source: RNAcentral